GAAACUGCUACGAGAAAACAGAAGCUGAGGUCACUGCUGCCUGGAAGGAGGGCCAGCAGGGCUGGGGGAGAGGCUGGGCGCUCAGGCCUGGCUCGGGCUUGGAGCCAGGGGAGGACACUGCCCACCCCUAGAGAGGGGAUGACUCUGAGAGACAUCAGGAGGGCUUAGGCUGAAGCAGCCAUUCCCCUGCCUCCAGGAAAGUCUGCAGGUGAGCAUGGGGAGACAGGCCAGCGCUGCCUGUAGCCUGCGAGGAAAUGAGGCAGCUGGUGUUUCACCAGGGGCGGUGCCACGCAGGGGUUAACAGUCAGCGGCCUUUUGCUCUGGCUAAGCCACGAAAAAAACGCCAUGGGAAAAGAAUGAAAGCAAGAUAGAGCAAUUAAGUAUAAUUUAAACAGAAGUACAUCGGCUUGAUGAGUUGGGGUCGUCAUGCCCUGCUGAGCCAAGGAAAAACAGUGUGGCCCUUGGAACGCUGGGUCAGUGCAGGUUCGGAAUACUGUUUGCUGCACACACCAAGCUAUUUUCCCCAAGGCACAUGCGGGUUUAGGGCCUCCAGCUGGGUGAUACCCUUUGCACAAGAAAAUAAUGACAGUUCAGGGUCAUCAGUAACGUGGGACACGGGAACAGGAAGCUGAUUUUAUCGUAGCAGCGCAGAUACUCUGCAUGCCGAGACACUAUGUAAAAGUGAUGUGGCUCCGAGGCACAGGCUCUUAAUCCCUGAGAUCGUGAGUCCCCGGUACCAUCUUUAAAACUUUAAUUCUGUUUCUAGUUUCUUUCUUCCAAACUGUGUGUCGCCCCACUUUUGCUCCCUGCCUGCUGCGCUGGUCCCCGCCAGGGUCGUCAGAGAUGGUGGACCUAGAUGAGCACUCCCUGAGCAGAUGAGCACUCCCUGAGCAGGGAGCGGAUGGGUGUGGCCCUGCGGGACCCAGGAGCCUGCGGCUCCCUGGACGGGCGGAGCCACUGGAGAGGAUCCACUGCAAAUCUGAGCCUAACCUGAGACCCAGUGAGGGCUUGGUGGCUUUCAGGAGUAGCUCAUUCAACCCCUACUCUGUGAAGAUCAGGCGACCAAGGCCCACAGAGGGACAGUGAUCAUCACAGGGUCACACAGGAGACCAGCAGCAAAAGCAGAAGGGGAGCCAGGCCUGCAACUGCCCAGCUGGCUUCUGUCCCUGGCCUACGACUCACUGCUAGGAUUGUGACUCUGGGUUGCUAUAGUUACAGUCCCGGCGAAUCAGGGGCUGCACCUGCUCCAAGAGCUGCUGGAAGAGCAGAAAGUCACGCUCCUGCCGCCGGAUGGUGGCCAAGUAAUCGAUCUUCUCCAGCUCAAACUCUGACUGCAGAUCUUUGAUCUCCACCUCUGCCGCCCGGAGCUGAAAACAAAAGAUGAACAAGCAGAGACAACUGUCUGCCUGCGAACGCAGGGGACAGGGGUUUGAUCCCUGGUCCAGGAAGAGCCUGCGUGCCCGGGGCAACUGAAGCCUGUGCCCAGGGCCCGCAAGCCGCACCUGCUGAAGCUUAAGCACCUGGAGCCUGUGCUCUGCAACAAGAGAAGUCGCCACAGUGAGAUGCCUGCGCAUACCAACGAAGACCCAGAACAUCCCAAAAUAAUAAACUAGUAUUUUUUAAAAGUAGCAGCAGGCACACCUUCUCAGAGAACAACCCUCACUCCCCUCUACUGGCACACUUCUGCUGGUGUUCAGCCGCUCAGUCGUGCCCAGCUCUUUGCGACCCCAUGGACUGCAGCACACCAGGCUCCCCUGUCCUUCACCAUCUCUCAGAGCUUGCUCAAACUCAU
Long non-coding RNA from Capra hircus (goat), 1792 nucleotides. RefSeq lists it as uncharacterized. The transcript is spliced from 3 exons. The record is from RefSeq and is a predicted model, not a curated record. NCBI's taxonomy places the organism in Eukaryota, Metazoa, Chordata, Mammalia, Artiodactyla, Bovidae.